Molecule: long non-coding RNA, 1082 nt
Filed under: Marmota monax (woodchuck)
Lineage: Eukaryota; Metazoa; Chordata; Mammalia; Rodentia; Sciuridae
Rfam family: tRNA (bases 628-691)
Source: RNAcentral
CACAAGCCUUGUUGAAGUACAUGACCUCAUUCAGAUUUCAUUUUCGGGGUGGACGGGUUCUUAGGUGACAGAGCCAUAGAUGUUAAGAUCCACACCAAGAUGAACAUUGUUGGGAUUAAGUUGCUUAGUAUUACAAUGCUGGCUUUGGUGAGGGCCCUGUGAGGGUGGUUACUAUUGUUUUGAUCAUUUGAAAAAGAAAGUGGAAAUUAUGGUGAGUAUAACAAGAAUACUGUGGAGCUCAAGUUUCUUUGAAAGAAUUAACUCCCCCAGGAAAUAACUUCUCAAACUCUGGCAAGUUUUUUGAAACAAACAUUCCUUUGAGAACUUUGCCACUAGAAUUUCAUUGUAAUGAGAAAAUUUAGUUUAGAUAAAACCACCUAUGGUAAGUUUUUAAUGAGAGUAUUUUACAAAUAGAAAUGGAAAUGUGGGGUUGUCACUUAAUUGUUACACCUUCACAAGGCUAAACCCAUGACACGGGCAUUUGUUGGAAUGUGGUAUAGUAAGUCACACCACCAGCUCAUUAUCUAGAAAGAAAACAAAUUUGUAUUUGACCCAAUCAAAUGAGCAGUUUAUCUUCACCUUAGUUUUAGAUUGAGGUAAUUAAGAAGUGAUAGUUGUGGGCUGGGGAUGUAGCUCAGUUGGUAGAGUGUUUGCUUUGCAUGCACAAGGCCUUGAGUUUAAUCCCCAGCAUAAAUAGAUAGGUAGAUAGUAAAGCUUUCAAUGCUCUGCAGAGGACUUUUGGACCUGGAGUUGUUAGAAGUGGAUCUCCAGUUGAAGGACUUUUGAAAAGCCUUUUAGUGCAACAGCAGGUUGAAAUUGGUAAAUUUAGUCUAAUGGAAAGAUACUAAAGGAAACUUAAAGGCAGAGCUUCCAAUGGAAUAACAAGGAGAGGCUAAGGUUAUAUGAAGAAAUGAGUGCCUUAUGGAGGGUUAAGGGAGGAAACAACUGCAUGUUCUAAUUAAUGUUUAGGGGUAAAAGAUCCGGUCUAGUUGGGGUUUAUUUGUUUGUGGUUCCUUGUAUGUAUUAGGCAAGUGCUCUAUCACAGCUGCAUAUCUAGUCCCAAUCAAUUUUUUUUUAACAGC